RNAcentral lists this transfer RNA (72 nucleotides) under Ovis aries (sheep). It matches the Rfam family "tRNA". Rfam says of the family: Transfer RNA (tRNA) molecules are approximately 80 nucleotides in length. Their secondary structure includes four short double-helical elements and three loops (D, anti-codon, and T loops). Further hydrogen bonds mediate the characteristic L-shaped molecular structure. tRNAs have two regions of fundamental functional importance: the anti-codon, which is responsible for specific mRNA codon recognition, and the 3' end, to which the tRNAs corresponding amino acid is attached (by aminoacyl-tRNA synthetases). tRNAs cope with the degeneracy of the genetic code in two manners: having more than one tRNA (with a specific anti-codon) for a particular amino acid; and 'wobble' base-pairing, i.e. permitting non-standard base-pairing at the 3rd anti-codon position. The record is from Rfam by way of RNAcentral. Lineage: Eukaryota; Metazoa; Chordata; Mammalia; Artiodactyla; Bovidae.
UCCCUAGUGGCUUAGAUGGUAAAGUGUCUGCCUACAAUGCGGGAGACCUGGGUUCGAUUCCUGGGUUGGGAA